This is an RNA transcript of Brassica oleracea var. oleracea, 1589 nucleotides long. RefSeq lists it as uncharacterized. NCBI's taxonomy places the organism in Eukaryota, Viridiplantae, Streptophyta, Magnoliopsida, Brassicales, Brassicaceae. The record is from RefSeq and is a predicted model, not a curated record. The transcript has 5 exons.
ACCUAAUUGUCUUCUUCUUUACUCUGAGUUCGGCGGCGAGUACGACGAUCGACUGUGCUCGAUUUUCCUGUAACGGAUAGCGACUUUAGUCACAUUAAUACAGACGCCCACUAAGAGCCUUUCAAUAGAUCUCUAAUCUCUGGUAUAAAUAGGUUAGUAUUCCUUUUCUGUUGAUCGCCCUCUCUUCAUCUCUCUACUACUUAUCUCUUUUAUUCUCAACAAUUGCAUGUGGUUCUUCAUUUCUAUGGGAUGAGAAGAAAGGUGAACUUAGGUGGAUUGAUAUGGUUUUGGUGGACUAGAAGUCCACGCUGAUUCAAGCAUCUAUUAGCGUCCACCGGUUGAACACAUUCCAACAACUGCUCAGAGAAAGAUGGACUUUUGAGCUUAGUGUAUUGGGCGUCACGCGGAGUAAUCAGUACUUUAAACUGACCACCGCACCCGUUUUAAUUAGAUUCACGGAACAAACCACCUUCGUCGAGAUAACAGAAUCUUUAUGGUCCGCAGCAAUGACGAACUGAUGUCACUUGCUAACACGAACAUCCACUUACCAGAUGUGUUGGUGGAGUCAAAACCACAUACAAUGAUGAAACACAGACAAUCCAGCUGAUAUGACCUACAUACGUCUUGAACGUACAUUAAGUUACAUAUGGUUCUUGCCAAAACGAAAACACCGUUGGUGUUCUAAGGUCAUGUGUUCUAUACACAACUUAUCAGCUAUCUGAACAGACGAUGCAAUACAUUAUUUAACCCAACAAUCCUAGACUACUUACAAACUAUUACUACUACAGGAACCGGGUGGAGUUUUCAGUCUUUGAUGGGUCAGAGUCAGCUGUCUUUGUGGCAUUUGAUGGUGAGAUGUGUAAGCUAACCAAUGCACAUCUUAUGGUGCAGGACCCAGGUGUAGAGGACCACAACCAAAGAUCUCUCCCACAGUGUUUAAAGAACUUGGUUGGCAGUACUUUCACCUUCCAGUUGAGGCUAUCCCCAUUAAACUUCUCUCCAUUCCUUAACCAAUAGUUUGAAACAGUUCUAUGUAUAUUGUUUAUGUUGUUUACUUUUUUAUAAUGGUUCUUUGGCAGAGGGGUGAUAACAACCCAGGAGAUGACAUGCCCGAAGCUAGAGCAGUGGCUACUAAGCCCUCCAAAACCAUCACCAAAGUUCCCCCUGCAAAAUCCGUUGGUUGGGUGCCUGUGGAGAGAUGCAGCUGCUCAAAGAGGCGUCCAUGCAACUGUUGCUGGUGAAGUAACUGAUGAGGAAGAAGGAGUGCAGGAGGAUAGGCACAUUGGAAAAAAACCACAAAAUUCUUAGUUUUCUAGCUUAGCGAGUGGCCAAGUCUAUAAACCCUUGGAAUAAUGGUUUAAGAUUUCAUUGUUUCCUUGCCUCUUUUCGGUGCUGGGUUUUUCACAUAUUAUUGUUGCUUGGUCACUAUGUUUCCUAUGGGGUCAACUUUUAAAAUAAACUCACAUUUUGAUAGUUUUCUGCAUGUGUUUCUUAUUCGUGUUUCAAAUAGCUGGAAACGUUUAAAUACAAACUCAUCAUCACCUUGCAACCCAGCUUGAGAAUAGAUGGUUGCUCACAGUUCUCUUUUU